UUCUCUUCUGUUCUGUCAACGUUGUAUCUAUCUUACACGUCCUCUGGCUUCUAUUUCCUUCUUCAAGGCACACUCUAUCGGACCAUGACCCAGGAGCACCACUGCGCAACAACACAGGAUUAGCUGGCAUAAAUAAAAUAAGAUCCGUUUUAACCAAGAGUCUUAGAAAUGUAAUUUUACAAGGUUGACCAUUGCAGCAGGAGUCUUAUCCUGUGUAUAUAAACCGGUGAAUUUAUAGCUAGAAUUCUGCAGAAAUCAAACUCUUCAUACUGCUACAUUUCCUUAAAAUAAGGAAACAAGGAUGGCUGAUGGUGACACUGAAGCCAACUAUCACCGGUUCUUGCAUCACUGGUAACAAGACCACAACAAGGAUUUUUUUACCCCUGAAUUCUGGAAUUUUAUUGUUCCAAAUUUAGAAGAAAGAUGUUCUCCCCAAGAUGAGCAGACUGUUUUUGUGACCAACCAUCGGUGAAAGUAAGAGGAGUUCUCGUGCGAUUGUGGUGAGGUAAUUUAACAGCCAAUGUCAUGGCUCCUGGGCAGUGAUAUCUGAAAACGUUACGCGACUCUUUCUCUUGCAACUCUGCACGCAUUAUUCGACAUUUUGCUCACAUAAACUGAUAGUCAAUACGUUCCAGUAGAGUGGAUAUAGAAGUAGAGACCAUCCCAGUACAACAUACAUAAAGCCAAAACCCAUCCUUGACUGCUGCACAGCAGUCUCGGGAGGAAAAUAAUAGUCAACACAAUUUUACUAGUUUCUUAUAAACCAACGUUUCGAUUACACUGAAUAAUAUGAGUACACUGGCCUGUGGCUUUCCGCCUCUUGUCUGUCUCCAAUUUGGCAUAUUGGCGCUACUUUGGCUCUCUUCUUGAUCACUGGUAGCUCUCCAAUUUUCCAUUUACAUGAGUGGGAUCCUGGGCGUGAAUGUGGAUGCUUAUCUAGCUCAACCUACCCACUAACCUGUUGUGAGUAAGGAUAUGAGUGCUAGCAUUAGAGCUUUGCCUCAUUGCUGCGCCCUUAGAUGUAAAUGAGGGUGUGAGGUAUCUAUAUAAAAAAAUUAUGUUUUUUAGUCGCCAUAUAUUUUCCUUAAUUCACUCAUGCGCCGAAUGAGUAAUACAAAUAUUUAUUAAAAGCAAAACUAUGCUUCACCCAUAAAUAAUUUGCCAGUUAUUAAGAAACCAAACAAUUUACUUGUAAGAACUGCGAUUCACGAAGAAAAAUAGUGACUAGUAUUAUUUAUCAGGAUUAUGACUUAGCGGAGAGAUGCAUUACUUAAACCUACAAGUCGAAUUAAUAUAAUUUUACAAGCAAGCAAUAACUGAUCUGUGGUAGCGCAUUGCUAUGUGGUUUACUAAUUAGCUGACUGUGUGGUUGACUAUCUGAUUCUGUAGCUAUGUAGCUGACUAAGUGACUGGUAGGUAGCUAUAUGUUGCUGACCACCUGAUUGGAUGUGUGUAACUAUAUGGCUGACUAAAUUGGUUGGCUGAAAGUUGUUUACCUUUCUGGCUGACAGGUUGGCAGGCUUUCAGGGGAUUAGCCCAUCAGAGUCUGGCAUCAGUGACGUAAUCUAGUCCAGCCUCCAUGUUUCCGUGGCUCCGGCCGAUAAUGCUCCACCUCCCGGACACCUCACCACAAGUUUGGAAGGUGAUGGCACAUGGGAUGAUGCCAAUCGAUUCUACAGAGUUGGGUUCAAGACUCAUCGAAAAGGCACGAGUUGCAAGUAGCACCAUCGUCCUGCAACGUCCAGCUCCUAACUAUAGAAAUUCAUAGAGUGAACGUCUUCCGCAUCCUCGGUGAUGGUCUUGCAUCAAAGGAGUUAGAGAAGAAUAUCAGCCUCCAGCUAUAUGUCAAAAACAUGUAAUGAGUAAUUGUAAUAAAUGUGUGGUUUAGA
Procambarus clarkii (red swamp crayfish) is the source of this 1889-nucleotide long non-coding RNA. RefSeq lists it as uncharacterized. The record is from RefSeq and is a predicted model, not a curated record. Lineage: Eukaryota; Metazoa; Arthropoda; Malacostraca; Decapoda; Cambaridae.